CAGGCAUGCAUUUUUAUGUAGUGUGGUUUUUGAAUGCAGUGGUGUGGUUAUAUAUAAUGGUGGGGUUUGUAUGUAGUGUGUCGUUGAAAUGCAGGGAUGUAUUUGUGUGUAGUGUUAGCGAGAUUCUGAAAUGCAUGCACGUAAACACAUACACACACGUAUAUACAUACUGACACACAUGCAGAUACAUAGACACACAGUGACACAAAGACACACGUGCAGACACAGUGGCGACUCUAGGAACAAUAUUGGGGGCACUACAAAACUGGGGGAGGGGUCACUAAAACCUUUCACUGGGGAAUUGGGCAAUGUGUGGCCAUUGGCUGCCUGAUGCAAUGCACGUUGGCAUCAGUCACCAAAUUUGCAUAUAAUUCACAUUAGCCAUCCAGAUUUCUUGUUGUGGGCUGGCUGACACCUCUCAACUUCGAUCUUUGUUUAUCAGAUAACUCCCCUAUUUGCUAUCCUUAUGUGGGAUUGCC
Non-coding RNA from Pelobates cultripes (western spadefoot toad), 479 nucleotides. Lineage: Eukaryota; Metazoa; Chordata; Amphibia; Anura; Pelobatidae. The record is from the annotation of a GenBank genome assembly.